RNAcentral lists this ribosomal RNA (951 nucleotides) under Actinia fragacea. Its description in RNAcentral is "eukaryotic LSU rRNA". It matches the Rfam family "Eukaryotic large subunit ribosomal RNA", at positions 73 to 820 of the family's 3401-position model. The record is from RNAcentral. Lineage: Eukaryota; Metazoa; Cnidaria; Anthozoa; Actiniaria; Actiniidae.
GAUUCCCCUAGUAAUGGCGAAUGAAGCGGGAACAGCUCAAAUUUGAAAUCUCCGUCGCCUGCGACGGCGAAUUGUAGUUUCGAGAAGCACUUUCUAGGCGGACCCGGGGCCGUCCAAGUUGCUUGGAACAGCACGUCAUAGAGGGUGACAACCCCGUCUGUGGCGGAACCGGCCGCUGACGAUGCGCUUUCGACGAGUCGGGUUGUUUGGGAAUGCAGCCCAAAAUGGGUGGUAAACUCCAUCUAAAGCUAAAUACUGGCACGAGACCGAUAGCGAACAAGUACCGUGAGGGAAAGAUGAAAAGCACUUUGAAAAGAGAGUUAAAAAGUACGUGAAACCGUUAAAAGGGAAACGAAUGGGGUUAGCAAUGCGCUCCGCGAGAUUCAGCCGGGGGCUGGACCGGCCGGGCGGUCUGCGGAUCUGAAUGGACCGCGGCCGUCCGGGUCGGCCCUUCGACCGUCGCACUUCUCGCGAGCGCGCGUCAGCGUCGGUUGGGACUGGGUCUCAAAGGCGCCGUGGAAGGUAGGUCCCUGCCCUCGGGCAGGGACUGUUAUAGCCCGGCGUUUUCAUGGCCCGGACCUGACCGUGGAGCCGCGCGGCGCGUGCCUCUUCUGGCUGGGGUCCCGUCGUUCCGGUCGGUCGUCGACUGCGGUGGACUGCGUGCAGUGCGCCGCGACUGCUGCCGGUCGCUUCGGCGGUGACCUCACACACAACGCGCCCAGGACGCUGGCGGUCAUAUGGCCUCAUCCGACCCGUCUUGAAACACGGACCAAGGAGUCUAACAUGUGCGCGAGUCUUCGAGUGAUCGAAACUCCCAGGCGGAAUGAAAGUGAAGGCGGCCUCGGCCGCUGAGGUGAGAACCCCUCGCGUUCGCCGCGGGGGGCGCAUCAUCGACCGACCUAUUCUACUCUUAGGAAGGUUUGAGUAAGAGCGCACCUGUUGGGACCCGAA